AUUGAACGCUGGCGGCAGGCCUAACACAUGCAAGUCGAACGAGAGGCGGACGGGUUGGUAAUGACUGGGAAACUGCCUGAGGGAGGGGGAUAAGUACUGGAAACGGUAGCUACUACCGCAUAGCAUAGAAUGGGCCCGGAUGGGAUUAGCUAGUAGGUGGGGUAAAGGCUAACCUAGGCGACGAUCCCUAGCGGGGCUGCGAGGCUGACCAGCCACACGGGAAGUGAUACAGGGUCCAGACUCCUACGGUAGGCCGCAGUGGGGAAUAUUGCACAAUGGGCGAAAGCAUGAUGCAGCCAUGCCGCGUGUAUGAAGAAGGCCUUCGGGUUGUAAAGUACUUUCAGCGGGGAGGCGUUACCCGCAGAAGAAGCACCGGCUAACUUCGUGCCAGCAGCCGCGGUAAUUC
RNAcentral lists this ribosomal RNA (406 nucleotides) under uncultured bacterium. RNAcentral's name for it is "partial 16S ribosomal RNA". It matches the Rfam family "Bacterial small subunit ribosomal RNA", at positions 29 to 526 of the family's 1533-position model. The record is from RNAcentral.